Molecule: transfer RNA, 61 nt
Filed under: Coleoptera sp. 17 KM-2017
Lineage: Eukaryota; Metazoa; Arthropoda; Insecta; Coleoptera
Description: tRNA-Leu
Source: RNAcentral
AUUAUUUUGGCAGAUUAGUGCAAUUGAUUUAGAAUCAUUUUAUGUAGUUUUACAAAUAAUA